Molecule: long non-coding RNA, 244 nt
Filed under: Brassica rapa (field mustard)
Lineage: Eukaryota; Viridiplantae; Streptophyta; Magnoliopsida; Brassicales; Brassicaceae
Description: long non-coding RNA (BRAP_LNC005164)
Source: RNAcentral
UUCUUGCUCUGGAGAACUAAUCAGAAAGCAAGAGAAUAGCCUGAAGGCAAGUUCAAUCGAACACUCACCGAAGUGGCUCCAAGCAGGCAUCGACGGAGCGUCAGGCACACACUCCGGAGCUCCACUGGAGGAGGACGUCGACGAAACAAAACCCAAGCUAUCGCAGCAGACGACAAAAAUGUUGGCCCGUAUCAACUCCGCUGAAAGUGAAGGACACGUUACGGUCAAGCGUAGUCGGUCAUUU